This is a non-coding RNA of Bemisia tabaci, 1325 nucleotides long. NCBI's taxonomy places the organism in Eukaryota, Metazoa, Arthropoda, Insecta, Hemiptera, Aleyrodidae. The record is from RefSeq and is a predicted model, not a curated record.
GGUCCUCCCGGCCCUUAGAUCUAGAUCGCUCAAAUAAUUUUAAUUUAUUUAAUUAUUAGCCGUUACAACUGUCAUCUUCUCUGCUUAUUUAGAAGUAUUUCAUCAAUUCGAGACGAAGAUUUAACCCCAGGGUCAACGAGAAUCAAGAAGAAGCCAUGGGAAGUGCAGGGAAACCGAAGUUCAGAGUGGAUCUUUACAGAACGAACUGUUGGAAGAUGGCUUGGAACAUGCGGUCAUGCUGUACACGUGGCGAUGUUGCUCUGGAGCCAUACUGCAAUCAAAGUCCAAUGAGCAGCCGAACUGGGUGGAAAUCUAUGAAAAGACUGUUGAAGUAUUAGCUCCUGAAGUGAACAAGCUGCUAAAUAUCAUGUAUUUUCAGAUUUAAAAACAUAUCAAAAUGGCGCCAGAGCCACUGGAUAUCUCUGAGCAUGAGUUGCUCUUCAAAGCAACCAAUUUAUCCAAACUGGCCUCCAUAGAUUUGUCUCAGGAGGACAGGUCAAGAGUUGAAAUAUUUGCCGAGUAUUGUGCCAAGAAGCGAGAACCUAUUUGCGGUCAGUUUUUGAACUUGUUGAAUGGAUCUGAUGGAUUCAUUGUGAAUAUGUCUGCCAGAAUAAUCGCCAAGAUUGCCUGUUGGAACCCAUCUGCCAAUUUACUUGACAGCUCUGAUUUCACUUUUACCUGAAUCGGUUGAAUGGACAAUUAAAAUUGAGUGGAGAGGACUUCUUUUUGUCGGAAGAUGCUUGCAAGUAGUUCUUCGUCACGAUGAAUAUCGUUUGGCUUUCAUCAAAGUUGGAGGGCCUUCAACAUUGUUGAAAGUUCUUGCCUCCGGACAAGUAAAUUUCCAAAUUCAGUACCAACUUAUGUUCUGUCUUCGGUUACUGCCUUUCAACCCUAAAUUUGCUCAAAAAAUGAACAAAUUAGGCGUCAUUCCAAUCCUAGCAGAUAUUCUCAGUGACUCUGUGAGAGAAGAAGUUACCCGCAUCAUCUUGGCUGUAUGUAUUCAGGGGAGUAUCUAGGACGCCAGCUGGAAAAAGAGCAAGGAUCAACAACUACUACAGCAAAAUCUGCAGCUGGAGUACUCGCUGGUAAAAUAUCAUAAGAUUAUCUGGAGGAAGUUGGCUCCCCAUAGUGGAGAGGAAAAAAUGCUGCUGUUAUUUGGUGUCAAUCAAUUCUGGUGCCCUUUUAAUUCUUUCUUGAGAAUGAUUUUUUCUCAAAAGGGACUCAUGCUGAUAUCUUGGCAACUAGUUGUGUAUUAAAAAAGUAUGAUGGUGGCACUUUCUCAACUCAUUUAUUGAAAGUAAAUUUUCCAGAUUUGUUGUCUUAAA